RNAcentral lists this ribosomal RNA (672 nucleotides) under uncultured Pasteurella sp. RNAcentral's name for it is "bacterial SSU rRNA". It matches the Rfam family "Bacterial small subunit ribosomal RNA", at positions 98 to 766 of the family's 1533-position model. Lineage: Bacteria; Pseudomonadati; Pseudomonadota; Gammaproteobacteria; Pasteurellales; Pasteurellaceae. The record is from RNAcentral.
GCGGACGGGUGAGUAAUGCUUGGGAAUCUGGCUUAUGGAGGGGGAUAACUGUGGGAAACUGCAGCUAAUACCGCGUAUUCUCUGAGGAGGAAAGGGUGGGACCUUAGGGCCACCUGCCAUAAGAUGAGCCCAAGUGGGAUUAGGUAGUUGGUGGGGUAAAGGCCUACCAAGCCUGCGAUCUCUAGCUGGUCUGAGAGGAUGACCAGCCACACUGGAACUGAGACACGGUCCAGACUCCUACGGGAGGCAGCAGUGGGGAAUAUUGCGCAAUGGGGGGAACCCUGACGCAGCCAUGCCGCGUGAAUGAAGAAGGCCUUCGGGUUGUAAAGUUCUUUCGGUAAUGAGGAAGGGAUGUUGUUAAAUAGAUAGCAUCAUUGACGUUAAUUACAGAAGAAGCACCGGCUAACUCCGUGCCAGCAGCCGCGGUAAUACGGAGGGUGCGAGCGUUAAUCGGAAUAACUGGGCGUAAAGGGCACGCAGGCGGACUUUUAAGUGAGAUGUGAAAUCCCCGAGCUUAACUUGGGAACUGCAUUUCAGACUGGGAGUCUAGAGUACUUUAGGGAGGGGUAGAAUUCCACGUGUAGCGGUGAAAUGCGUAGAGAUGUGGAGGAAUACCGAAGGCGAAGGCAGCCCCUUGGGAAUGUACUGACGCUCAUGUGCGAAAGCGUGGGG